AGUGAACGCUGGCGGUAGGCCUAACACAUGCCAGUCGAACGGCAGCACAGUAAGAGCUUGCUCUUACGGGUGGCGAGUGGCGGACGGGUGAGGAAUACAUCGGAAUCUACUUUUUCGUGGGGGAUAACGUAGGGAAACUUACGCUAAUACCGCAUACGACCUACGGGUGAAAGCAGGGGAUCUUCGGACCUUGCGCGAUUGACUGAGCCGAUGUCGGAUUAGCUAGUUGGCGGGGUAAAGGCCCACCAAGGCGACGAUCCGUAGCUGGUCUGAGAGGAUGAUCAGCCACACUGGAACUGAGACACGGUCCAGACUCCUACGGGAGGCAGCAGUGGGGAAUAUUGGACAAUGGGCGCAAGCCUGAUCCAGCCAUACCGCGUGGGUGAAGAAGGCCUUCGGGUUGUAAAGCCCUUUUGUUGGGAAAGAAAAGCAGCAGGUUAAUACCCCGCUGUUCUGACGGUACCCAAAGAAUAAGCACCGGCUAACUUCGUG
Molecule: ribosomal RNA, 492 nt
Filed under: uncultured bacterium
Lineage: Bacteria
Description: partial 16S ribosomal RNA
Rfam family: Bacterial small subunit ribosomal RNA
Source: RNAcentral